ACAAGCAAAAAGCAUAUCAGUAAGCGGAGGAAGAGAAACUAACCAGGAUUCUCCUAGUAACGGCGAGUGAACGGAGAUUAGCCCAUCACCGAAGCCUGCGUGCGUUUGCAUGUUAGGCAAUGUGGUGUUAAAGCUUGUACCUGGGAUCGUGUACCUACCCGAAGUCUAAAUCCGAUUGUGGCUUUGGAUUCAUUCCAUAGCGGGUGAAAGUCCCGUGCGGGUAGGACUAUUGCAUAUUCACACGGUCCUCAGAUGUGCUUGCUUUCGAGUCGGAUUGCUUGAGAAUGCAGUCCAAAGUGGGUGGUAAACUCCAUCCAAGGCUAAAUACUGGCACGAGUCCGAUAGUAGACAAGUACCGUGAGGGAAAGUUGAAAAGUACUCUGAAGAGAGAGUAAAUAGUACGUGAAACCGAUUGCAGGGAAGCUGGUGGAGUCAAGCUUCGUGCUUGAGGGAUUGAUGCUGGGAGCAGGUGUGUGAUUUGUAUGUGAGGUUGGACAACUUGGAAUAAGUUGGGCGUGUUCUGAAUGCGCUUCAAGUCAUUCCGGGCCGAGUGUUAUGAGCCAGCCUCGCUUUACUACUCUCAGUGUUGUAUUCCUCGCUGCACAGGCCACAGUCAAUAUGUGCAUGCUGAAUGAAGUUCUAACUAUGCUUCGGCGGGUGCAAACUCUCCGGGUGUAGGAUGGCAGGUGCUGUCUUCAGGCCUCGUGUCUGUUGAUAGUUGUUGUGAUUUUGAUCAGCUGGGCUUCAUACUGUGUUGUGCAUAUUGUCUUUUAAUGGUGCAGUUUCUUUGGAAGUGCGCUGUGAAGAACUGUGCUCUGAGWRURACC
Molecule: ribosomal RNA, 827 nt
Filed under: Cichlidogyrus halli
Lineage: Eukaryota; Metazoa; Platyhelminthes; Monogenea; Dactylogyridea; Ancyrocephalidae
Description: partial large subunit ribosomal RNA
Source: RNAcentral